UGGGGAAUAUUGCACAAUUGGCGCAAGCCUGAUGCAGCCAUGCCGCGUGUAUGAAGAAGGCCUUCGGGUUGUAAAGUACUUUCAGCGGGGAGGAAGGGAGUACAGUUAAUACCUUUGCUCAUUGACGUUACCCGCAGAAGAAGCACCGGCUAACUCCGUGCCAGCAGCCGCGGUAAUACGGAGGGUGCAAGCGUUAAUCGGAAUUACUGGGCGUAAAGCGCACGCAGGCGGUUUGUUAAGUCAGAUGUGAAAUCCCCGGGCUCAACCUGGGAACUGCAUCUGAUACUGGCAAGCUUGAGUCUCGUAGAGGGGGGUAGAAUUCCAGGUGUAGCGGUGAAAUGCGUAGAGAUCUGGAGGAAUACCGGUGGAGAAGGCGGCCCCCUGGACGAAGACUGACGCUCAGGUGCGAAAGCGUGGGGAGCAAACAGG
This 429-nucleotide ribosomal RNA is filed under the name Chloroflexota bacterium. Its description in RNAcentral is "Chloroflexi bacterium partial 16S ribosomal RNA". It matches the Rfam family "Bacterial small subunit ribosomal RNA", at positions 355 to 776 of the family's 1533-position model. The record is from RNAcentral. Lineage: Bacteria; Bacillati; Chloroflexota.